AGGGUUUGAUCAUGGCUCAGAACGUACGCUGGCGGCACGCCUAACACAUGCAAGUCGAACGAAGUAGCAAUACUUAGUGGCAGACGGGUGAGUAACAUGUGGGUAUCUGCCCUUUGGCCUGGAAUAACACGAGGAAACUUGUGCUAAUACUGGAUAAGUCUUUACGGAGAAAGCUUUAUGCACCAUUGGAUGAGCCCGCACUUGAUUAGUUUGUUGGUGGGGUAAUGGCCUACCAAGACUGUGAUCAAUAGCUGAUUUGAGAGGAUGAUCAGCCACAUUGGGACUGAGACACGGCCCAAACUCCUACGGGAGGCAGCAGUGGGGAAUCUUGCACAAUGGAGGAAACUCUGAUGCAGCGAUGCCGCGUGAGUGAAGAAGGCCCUUGGGUUGUAAAGCUCUUUCGUCGGGGAAGAAAAUGACUGUACCCGAAUAAGAAGGUCCGGCUAACUUCGUGCCAGCAGCCGCGGUAAUACGAAGGGACCUAGCGUAGUUCGGAAUUACUGGGCUUAAAGAGUUCGUAGGUGGUUGAAAAAGUUGGUGGUGAAAUCCCAGAGCUUAACUCUGGAACUGCCAUCAAAACUUUUCAGCUAGAGUUUGAUAGAGGAAAGCAGAAUUUCUAGUGUAGAGGUGAAAUUCGUAGAUAUUAGAAAGAAUACCAAUUGCGAAGGCAGCUUUCUGGAUCAUUACUGACACUGAGGAACGAAAGCAUGGGUAGCGAAGAGGAUUAGAUACCCUCGUAGUCCAUGCCGUAAACGAUGUGUGUUAGACGUUGGAAAUUUAUUUUCAGUGUCGCAGCGAAAGCGAUAAACACACCGCCUGGGGAGUACGACCGCAAGGUUAAAACUCAAAUGAAUUGACGGGGACCCGCACAAGUAGUGGAGCAUGUGGUUUAAUUCGAAGAUACGCGCAGAACCUUACCAACACUUGACAUGUUCGUCGCGACUUUAAGAGAUUAAAGUUUUCGGUUCGGCCGGACGAAACACAGGUGCUGCAUGGCUGUCGUCAGCUCGUGUCGUGAGAUGUUGGGUUAAGUCCCGCAACGAGCGCAACCCUCACUUUUAGUUGCCAUCAUUUAGUUGGGCACUCUGAAAGAACUGCCAGUGAUAAGCUGGAGGAAGGUGGGGAUGACGUCAAGUCCUCAUGGCCCUUACGUGUUGGGCUACACACGUGCUACAAUGGUAUCUACAACAGGAAGCAAAACAGCGAUGUUAAGCAAAUCCUUAAAAGAUACCUCAGUUCGGAUUGCACUCUGCAACUCGAGUGCAUGAAGCUGGAAUUACUAGUAAUCGUGGAUCAGCGUGCCACGGUGAAUGCGUUCCCGGGUCUUGUACACACCGCCCGUCACACCAUGGGAGUUGGUUCUACCUUAAGGCAAGGUUUAAUACCCUUGACCACGGUAUAGUCAGCGACUGGGGUGAAGUCAUAACAAGGUAACCGUA
RNAcentral lists this ribosomal RNA (1439 nucleotides) under uncultured bacterium. RNAcentral's name for it is "bacterial SSU rRNA". It matches the Rfam family "Bacterial small subunit ribosomal RNA". The record is from RNAcentral.